UGGGCUUGACAUGUUCGUGACAGGUGUGUUUCCACACCUGUCACGAACAUGUCAAGCCCAGGUAAGGUUCUUCGCGUUGCGUCGAAUUAAACCACAUGCUCCGCUGCUUGUGCGGGCCCCCGUCAAUUCCUUUGAGUUUUAGCCUUGCGGCCGUACUCCCCAGGCGGGGCACUUAAUGCGUUAGCUACGGCGCCGGGGGAGUCGACACCCCCAACACCUAGUGCCCAUCGUUUACGGCGUGGACUAC
Molecule: unclassified non-coding RNA, 247 nt
Filed under: uncultured Solirubrobacterales bacterium
Lineage: Bacteria; Bacillati; Actinomycetota; Thermoleophilia; Solirubrobacterales
Description: contains 16S-23S intergenic spacer region
Source: RNAcentral